GUGAAUCAUCAAAUUUUUGAACGCAAAUUGCACUCCCUUCGGAGAGUAUGCCUGUUCGAGGGCCAGCCUAAAAAAAAUCGACAUAGUCGCUGUUUCGCGGUGUCAUUCGUCGGCAUUUGGGUCAUCUUAAACCUUUGGGCUUUUUAAGCGGCUUAAAUUUUUCUCUACGAUCACACGAACGUUUCCAUGACUUUACUUAUUACACACGCUUAAGGUACCGAUCUUUAUUAUUCGCGGCCGUUGCAUCGGAUCG
This 253-nucleotide unclassified non-coding RNA is filed under the name Glomus sp. Its description in RNAcentral is "partial contains 5.8S ribosomal RNA and internal transcribed spacer 2". The stretch from base 1 to 65 matches the Rfam family "5.8S ribosomal RNA", at positions 84 to 154 of the family's 154-position model. Lineage: Eukaryota; Fungi; Glomeromycota; Glomeromycetes; Glomerales; Glomeraceae. The record is from RNAcentral.